GAUGAACGCUGGCGGCGUGCCUAAUACAUGCAAGUCGAGCGAACAGACGAGGAGCUUGCUCCUCUGACGUUAGCGGCGGACGGGUGUGUAACACGUGGAUAACCUACUUAUAAGUCUGGGAUAACUUCGGGAGACCGGAGCUAAUACGGGAUAAUAUAUUGAACCGCAGGGGGCAAUGGAGAAAGACGGCUUUGCUGGCUGUUAUAGCUGGAUCCGGGCCGCAUUAGCUAGUUGGUAGGGUAACGGCCUACGAAGGCAACGAUGCGUAGCCGAGCUGACAGGCGGAUAGGCCGCACUGGAACGGGACCGCGGACCAUGCUACUACGGGAGGCAGCAGUAGGGAAUGGGCCGCAAUAGGGGAAAGCAUGACGCAGCGACGCCACGUGAGUGAUGACGGUCUUCGGAUCGGAAUAAUCUGUUAUGAGGGAAGAACCACUGUGUACGGAACUAUGCCCGUCUUGACGGUAACUAAUCAGAAAGCCACGGCUAACUACGUG
Molecule: ribosomal RNA, 497 nt
Filed under: uncultured bacterium
Lineage: Bacteria
Description: partial 16S ribosomal RNA
Rfam family: Bacterial small subunit ribosomal RNA
Source: RNAcentral